Molecule: ribosomal RNA, 419 nt
Filed under: uncultured eukaryote
Lineage: Eukaryota
Description: bacterial SSU rRNA
Rfam family: Eukaryotic small subunit ribosomal RNA
Source: RNAcentral
CAAUAGCGUAUAUUAAAGUUGUUGCAGUUAAAAAGCUCGUAGUUGGAUCUCAGGUCCAGGCUUGCGGUCCACUCCUUGGUGGCUACUGCUCGUCCUGACCUACCUCCCGGUUUUACCCUUGGUGCUCUUGAUUGAGUGUCUCGGGUGGCCGGAACAUUUACUUUGAAAAAUUAGAGUGUUCAAAGCAGGCCUAUGCUCUGAAUAGGUUAGCAUGGAAUAAUAGAAUAGGACUUCGGUACUAUUUUGUUGGUUUCUAGGACCGAAGUAAUGAUUAAUAGGGACAGUUGGGGGCAUUCAUAUUCCAUUGUCAGAGGUGAAAUUCUUGGAUUAACGGAAGAUGAACUACUGCGAAAGCAUCUGCCAAGGAUGUUUUCAUUAAUCAAGAACGAAAGUUGGGGGCUCGAAGAUGAUCAGAUACC